This 564-nucleotide ribosomal RNA is filed under the name Paenibacillus antri. RNAcentral's name for it is "Bacterial large subunit ribosomal RNA". It matches the Rfam family "Bacterial large subunit ribosomal RNA", at positions 1114 to 1676 of the family's 2925-position model. Lineage: Bacteria; Bacillati; Bacillota; Bacilli; Caryophanales; Paenibacillaceae. The record is from Rfam by way of RNAcentral.
AGCCACCAUUGAAAGAGUGCGUAAUAGCUCACUGGUCGAGUGACUCUGCGCCGAAAAUGUAACGGGGCUAAACACACCACCGAAGCUAUGGCUUGACCGCAAGGUCUUGGGUAGGGGAGCGUUGUGUACCGGGCUGAAGCAUGACCGGAAGGACAUGUGGACUGUACACAAGUGAGAAUGCCGGUAUGAGUAACGAAAAGACAAGUGAGAAUCUUGUCCGCCGAAAGCCUAAGGGUUCCUGAGGAAGGUUCGUCCGCUCAGGGUUAGUCGGGACCUAAGGCGAGGCCGAAAGGCGUAGUCGAAGGACAACAGGUUGAAAUUCCUGUACCGCCGUAAGCCGUUACGAGCGAUGGGGUGACGCAGAAGGGGAACGUUGCGGACCGAUGGAAGUGUCCGUCCAAGCAGUGAGGCUGACUUACAGGCAAAUCCGUAAGUCGUUAAGGCUGGGCUGUGAUGGGGAGGGGAACUCAAGUACCCGAAGAACAUGUACUCUGGCUGCCGAGAAAAGCCUCUAGCCAGGCGAAGGCGCCCGUACCGCAAACCGACACAGGUAGGCGAGCAGAG